AGCGUGGAGACAGGUGGUGCAUGGUUGUCGUCAGCUCGUGUCGUGAGAUGUUGGGUUAAGUCCCGCAACGAGCGCAACCCUCACCUCUUGUUGCCAUCAGGUCGUGCUGGGCACUCUAGAGGAACUGCCCCGGUCAACGGGGAGGAAGGCGGGGAUGACGUCAAGUCAUCAUGCCCCUUACGUCCUGGGCUACACACGUGCUACAAUGGCCGGUACAAAGGGAUGCCACACCGCGAGGUAGAGCUAAACCCAAAAAGCCGGUCUAAGUUCAGAUUGGAGUCUGCAACUCGACUCCACGAAGGAGGAAUCGCUAGUAAUCGCGUAUCAGCACGACGCGGUGAAUACGUUCCCGGGCCUUGUACACACCGCCCGUCACACCACGAAAGCCUGCUGUACUCGAAGUCGCUGAG
RNAcentral lists this ribosomal RNA (410 nucleotides) under uncultured Methylomirabilota bacterium. Its description in RNAcentral is "bacterial SSU rRNA". It matches the Rfam family "Bacterial small subunit ribosomal RNA", at positions 1025 to 1434 of the family's 1533-position model. The record is from RNAcentral. Lineage: Bacteria; Methylomirabilota (SeqCode).